RNAcentral lists this ribosomal RNA (118 nucleotides) under Chinchilla lanigera (long-tailed chinchilla). The record is from RNAcentral. Lineage: Eukaryota; Metazoa; Chordata; Mammalia; Rodentia; Chinchillidae.
AUCUAUGACCAUACCACCCUAAACGCGCCCAAUCUCAUCUGAUGGCCGAAGCUGAGGAGGGUGGGGCCUGGUUAGUACUUGCAUGGAAGGAGCGUGGCUUCCCUGUUGCUCUGAGAUU